Molecule: long non-coding RNA, 3869 nt
Organism: Mirounga angustirostris (Northern elephant seal)
Lineage: Eukaryota; Metazoa; Chordata; Mammalia; Carnivora; Phocidae
Exons: 10
Source: RefSeq, a predicted model, not a curated record
CGCGUCCUCGGCGAGUGGGGCGGGGCCGUGACUCACCCGAACCGCGCCCCCCGCCCGCUGUCGAGCGCACGUGAGCGCGCGCCGCGCUGCUUUCUAAAUUUAGCUCGGCGGCUUCGGUGGGGGUCGGGCGAGGAUUUUCUUGGAGGAAAGAAAGAAGAGUGGCAAUGGUGAAGAGAAAGGAAACCAGAUGGGGAAAUUGAGAAAGGGAGAGAUAUUGACUGAAUGAAUGAUGAAUGAAUGAGCAAACAGAGCAAGGCACCAAAAAGGGAAGCUGCUAGGGGGCUGCUCUGUCAAAAUGAGAGAAUAAACCAAGAGGAAGGUGUCAGAUCCUGGAACCAGGGGCUCCAACCAGUGUUGCAGAGGAAUAAAGGAUUCAGAAUCCAGACACAAGCUCUCCACAGGGAAGUACAUGCACUGUGCUUAUUUUAAAGAGAGAGAGUGUCCAUCAUCUCGCACUUAGGAGAUCUACUGUAACCACCUUCUCAGCAACUGUAGAUGUUGGAAGAGUCGUGUCUGCAGUCCUCAAGACAGCGUGAUGCCCAUGAGGCUGCAGUGUCCCCACCUGUCAAGUAAGUUGACAACAAAGGCCCAAGGGACCCCUAUGGUGAAGAGAUGAAGCCCAUGAGCUGCAGCGUCAGGACACCGGGGUGCGAAUCUCCAGCUUCCUGAGUGGUUUCAGCCCACGCUGCUGCCGACCCCAUGCUGGAGAAGUCACGCCUUCCCAGCCGAGUGCGAGCAGGCUCCACGGCCGAGCCUCCUGAGUCCACCGUGAGCCCCUCGGACACCCUCCUGCAGAGGUCAGACACACUCCAGAUGGUGGCCGCCCCGUCAGCCUGGAACCUGUGAUGAGGACGUCAUGCGAGAGUUCCUCACUAACCCAAGCAGUUUUGCAACCUAUGUUUUGCACAAGAUAACGUGAAAGGGAGUUUCAAUCUACUUGUCUACACUGCCCGUGAGGGAACAGAGGAGCCCACCCAGAUGAUGACCUGGCUCACAUUCCACUGACCUGCUUAACAAGCAGAUCUUACAGAAGUUAGGGAGAGUGGAACGCGAACUCAGACAGCCUGGAUUCUCAUCCCAGAUCUUCCCCUUAUGAAAUAAUGCCUUUGGGCAAGUUGUUGAACCAAUUCAAGCUGCCGCCGCCUCAUCAGUAACAGGAAGGAUGAUAAUAACAUCUGUGUGGGCAGGUGACUCUGAGGAACAAAUGAAGUGAUACAGGGUUUUCCAGCAACCCUCUGCGCUCAGUUCCUUGGCAGAAGACUGGGGGAUCACAUGGCUGAGUGAGUGGCAUUUUCUGAAUCAUGGAAUGGAAAGAAACACUAUACAGAAAAGCUGCACACAGGGCUUCUGUGUUGAGCCUGGAUGACGACACAGCGCGGGAAGUGAUUCAUCCCAGCCCGCCUGGCGUGUGUGCUGGUCAGCAGACGGAGUGCAGUUCAGUGCUCGCCUUCUGCGGGGACCAAUGGGGCUUCUCAGCCACAGGGCAGCCCCGGGUGCCUCCCACGCACACCAGCGCCCGGAGCCACCAGAGGCAGCUCGGCAGGUGUCUGGGGAGGUCACAGACAAUAGGACAGAAGGUGAAAAUGAUGGAAUAUCCAGGUUAGGGGAAUCAGAGAAAGGAACUAGGCAGACAGAUGUGGGGAGAAUAUGGUCAGGCUCUCCUGAAAACCAGGAAACAGGCUCCGACUUCUCCAUUCCACAUCCAGAAGCACAGCCUAGCGCCCAGCACGCACAGGAGACGUGUGCUCACCAAUGCCAGAAUGGACUUAAUAAAUAAUUAACACGCUCAUGGAGCCUUUACGGAGUCCAGGCAUGGUCUAAGUCCUUGACGUGUGCUAUCCCACUUCAUCCUCCCAACAGCCCUCUGAAAACAUCAGUGAACCCAAUCUUGCAGAUGAGGAAAUUCUGCACAGAAACAUGAAAUAGCUUGCCCGAGGUCAUGCAACCACUAAGGAGAAGUCUCACCUACAGCAUCCUGUCCCAAGUCUGUGUGCAGAGGUCCUCUUCUUGGCCAGACACUGCUCUUCACAUACAUGAUCGGAUUUAACCUGCACAACAACAAUACAAAGAAGGUAUUGUUCCCAUUUUAAAAAUGGGAAAACUGAGGCUCAGAGAGGUUAAGUUGUUGCCCAAAGUCACACAGCUGGUAAGUGAUGAAGUGGGGCUCACCCAUGUCUGCCUGACUCCAAAGCCCAUGAUCUGUUUCAUGACAUUUCUCUACCUCACCACUGAUGGAGAGGCGUUCUCCCCGCCUCCACUGAUGGAGGUGUUCUCCUCAUCUUUUGGGACAGUGUCCCUCUUUUCUGAGUCCUCGGCCUGCCCACCCAUGGUUUAUAUUGGUUAAAUCUUGACUCAGUAGUAGGAACCUCUUGGUUGUUCCACACAAGGGCCUCCCUUGUUGGAGAGGGAGGAGAGAGGUGAUGCCCCAGAGCUAAAGGGACAGUGUCCCCAGGGUGGACUUGGAGGGUUCUGUGCACGUGGGGAGGGAUGAGGGAAGUGAGGCAGAGCUGGCUUGGCAGCAGGUCCAGUGGGUCUCCCCUGGCUCUGUAUCAAAAUCCCCUUUGAGAAAACAGAGGCUAGGAAUGGUAGAGAUCUGGGUGGCAGUGUGGGGGUGACUCCAAGGGGCAGCUAGGGCUGAGAAGUGCUCAUUGCAUCUACUACUAUUCUUUACCCCGUGGACCACCUCUCUGUGGGGUCAGCCAGGAACUAGCAGGUUCAUAUGGGAUCUGAAUCUCCCAGGCCACAAGCCACAGAGAUAUAUCAUAUAUAGAUGCUAUUGCUUUUGUUGUUACUUAAAGUUGAUGUCUUUAAGCAAGGUGUGUAUUCUCCAGUUUGCCACGGGCCCCACCAUUCCCCAUUGCCUGAUACACUUGCACUCACUUUGGCAAGUUACGGUGUUACUGCAGCUCCUGAUAACACUGGAGUUUGAGGCCCUGAAGAUGUAAAGUAAUCUAGCGUCCGCAUUUCACCUGGAAAAAAAAAUAUACUUGUGCUUCCUAGACCAAAAUGAGGACCCCGUGGCCCCUUGAAGUUACAGUCACUGGGCAAAUCUGUAAAGCUAACUCUGAAGCAAAUAAUAACUUAUAAAAUAACUUAAACCCACAUCGAAGUGAACUGGCUUGAGAUUACCAUUUGCUUUGGGUCAUCUCCAUCACUGAUGCCCACACUCACAGAAAACCAAGCCCUGAGCUCAUUGUCUCUCAUGCUUGGGGUUAGAGUUGGGGCUGUCACGAGGAAAUACACAUCAACUGACACACCCACAGGUUUAAGGACGUGUCAGUUCACAUCCUUGGUUUUCCCAAGUUAGGGAUCAUUGGGCCUGGCUUCAAAGUGGCCAGAGGCCAUUGGUGGGAGGGAGGAGAAUCUUCCUUCUCACUGUAUAUUUCUUGUUCACAUUGUUCUUCCCUGCAAACAUGAGUGACUUCUGUAAUACAAAGAUAUUCCCAAGGUGCCUGUGGGCAGGGCAGGCCUGGGUGCACAUGCAGCCUGGGACUCACUGUCCUCCUGACCCCUGGUUCCCCUUUGUCACAUGGACAGGCUUUCUCUGGGUGGACAAGUGAGAAUGUGGGGUGGGUGAGGACAGGAGCAGACUAUGGCAGGGCCGCAUGUCCACAGCUCCCGUCCUGGGACCUGCAAACCUGUUACUUCACGUUCCAUUGGCAAGUCACUCUAACUGCCAUGGGCCACUCCCGAUGCACCACCGGCUUCCUUCCCCUCCACUGAUGGAGGCGUUCUCCCCCCCUCCACUGAUGGAUGCGUUCUCCCCCGCCUCCACUGAUGGAGGCGUUCUCCACCCCACCACUGAUGGAGGCGUUCUCUACCUCACCACUGAUGGAGAGGCGUUCUCCCCCGCUCCACUGAUGGAGGCG